GGGGGUAUAGCUCAGUGUUAGAGCAUUUGACUGCAGAUCAAGAGGUCCCUAGUUCAAGUGCCCCCU
Molecule: transfer RNA, 66 nt
Filed under: Xenopus laevis (African clawed frog)
Lineage: Eukaryota; Metazoa; Chordata; Amphibia; Anura; Pipidae
Rfam family: tRNA
About the family: Transfer RNA (tRNA) molecules are approximately 80 nucleotides in length. Their secondary structure includes four short double-helical elements and three loops (D, anti-codon, and T loops).
Source: Rfam by way of RNAcentral